UCUCUCCCUCUCAUCGGGAAGUCUGCCUCCUCUCAGCACUGACAGAACACUCCACCAGCAGAGCUUACAGGCUUUCCCGGGCUGAUGACUGAGUCCUGAAGCCAGGGACAGGACCCAGAAGCUCAAGAGCGACAGGGAAGAUAUGUAAGUUGAGAGAGGGAAAAGGGCCUUCACCCCUAGUCUGGCCGAAGUCUCUCCACACCAGUGAGUUGAGAAUUCUAGCACGAUUAGCACCAAAAUAAGGAUCACUGACACGGCUUCCCUUCCUCAAAGAGAGCUGUCACGUAACUAUCAGAACAGCAGCAAACCAUGGCCUCUCCCUUCCCAGCUGUAGACCCAACAAACUCCAUUCAUGGUUUGCAGCAGUGGAACUGGAACGCAGCAAUGGAGUUCCUGUGUGACCUUGGAGCUGCUGGAUGUGAGGCAGCCGUGCUAGGUAUUGAACUCAGAGCCUGAUUCCUCAAAGAGAUACCACAUUUGCUGGCCCAGCUCAUCGGCUUGCAGACCCUUUGACCUGAAGGGAGAUAAGGCACUAGCACUCAGUGGUGAAGAACACAGACAAGGGACUGAGUGGGAGAGUGACAACUGUGGUGUGACGUCCUCUACCACACGGCCUAGCCUACAGAGCCACCGCGGUCAACGCCUAACCCAAUGCUGAAGAGAUGGGAUUCCCAUGCCAGCGCCUCCACUCAGCUGCUCUCUGUUGGUUCACCUCUGCAGCCACCCCUGGGCUGGUUCACCUCUGCAGCCACCCCUGGGCUAGCCCAAAUGGAUAGUUUGGGUGGGGCAGGAAGUACUAAGCCAACUGACUUGAAUUAAGCUCUAACC
Long non-coding RNA from Meriones unguiculatus (Mongolian gerbil), 828 nucleotides. RefSeq lists it as uncharacterized. Lineage: Eukaryota; Metazoa; Chordata; Mammalia; Rodentia; Muridae. The transcript is spliced from 4 exons. The record is from RefSeq and is a predicted model, not a curated record.